RNAcentral lists this ribosomal RNA (288 nucleotides) under Escherichia coli. RNAcentral's name for it is "partial 23S ribosomal RNA". It matches the Rfam family "Bacterial large subunit ribosomal RNA", at positions 311 to 604 of the family's 2925-position model. The record is from RNAcentral. Lineage: Bacteria; Pseudomonadati; Pseudomonadota; Gammaproteobacteria; Enterobacterales; Enterobacteriaceae.
UCGCAAGACAUUUGAUGAGUAGAAUCCUCUGGAAAGUGGAACCAUAGACGGUGAUAGUCCGGUAUACGAAGUCAAAUUAAGCGUAGUGGUAUCCUGAGUAGCGCGGGACACGAGAAAUCUUGCGUGAAUCUGCCGGGACCAUCCGGUAAGGCUAAAUACUCCCGAGAGACCGAUAGCGAACCAGUACUGUGAAGGAAAGGUGAAAAGCACUUCGAAUAGAAGAGUGAAAUAGUCCCUGAAACCGUGCGCCUACAAGCGGUCGGAGCUGCGUAAGCAGUGACGGCGUGC